Carassius carassius (crucian carp) is the source of this 625-nucleotide long non-coding RNA. RefSeq lists it as uncharacterized. Lineage: Eukaryota; Metazoa; Chordata; Actinopteri; Cypriniformes; Cyprinidae. The record is from RefSeq and is a predicted model, not a curated record. The transcript is spliced from 3 exons.
GGAAUUCUGUGGCAAGUUUGUUUUAUUACUUCCAUGCUCUAUGUCUUUGUUGAACUAUCCAGAAUUUGGUUUUGGGCUGUUUAGAAUUUAUUGUUCAGAAAUCUGUCUUGUGCAAAUUUCUCUCUGUUUAUGUUUUAGGUUGAAGAUGGCCCAGAGAGAGAGAACUCCCAUUAAUUGGAAUCAAAAGGAAACCCUGAAAUAAUUUUUUAAGGAUGGAAUGACACGAGUUGGUUCAGAAUUAAUACCAAGAGCUGCAUCAGCUACUGGUUUGGACACCAGUGUCGUAGAAAUAAGGUUUACUUUUGUGCCACACUAACAAACAACAUGUCAAAUAAAUAUAUAAUUCUGCUGCACUGCUUGUUUAAAUGAAGUGUUUUGUUAACAUUCGGUUUAAUUGGUGUAAUAUCCUUUCGCUAUUUUUUUGUUUUUCAGAACUGGAUUGGUAAUUACAAAAGAUCAAAAAUGACUAAUGCUUCGUCUGAGCCCCGGCCAAAGUUCACAUUAGAGAGCUGUCGUCUUACAAUCUUUUUUGUAGGGACAUAUUCAAAAACAAAGGCACAAUGAAUGAUAUUAAGGGCAGGUGCGCCACAUUGGGGGAAGAUGCAAAGCAAAAAUACAUUCAGGA